CAUCUUCCGACCUCUUGACUCAUCAUAUCUUCAUAAUGUUCAUGUCUUUAAAGAUCUCUAGCAUAUUUGGCCUGCCGGGUUUCUUUGGGUGACCCAUAGCCACUCUUUCCAGCAUUGUUUUUGCUCUCUUUGUUCUUUAAUCAGAUAAAGAACAGACAUACUUUGGUGGAACACCAAUGGAGGAGGAGGGGAAGGAGGUGAUGGUGCUAUAGUAACAGAUGUGGAAGUAUCUAAGUGACCUGAACUGGGACUCUUGCUCCUGGAGGGUCACAAUCUUAGCAAUCUGAGCUCUAAUGGCGGCAAGUUCAUUCCGGAUCUUCUGCAAGGCUUCCUUACUGGCCUCACUUUGGAGGAGGCUCAUCUUGAAACAAAUUCAGGCUGACCAUAUUCCUUCUGGACGUCCACACUUCCCCCCAUUGCCCUUGGAAGACCAUGCAAGUCAUCUGUAGAUGAGCCUUCAUCCUGCUGGCCUGAGAUGGCACCAGGUCACCUUGUGUGAUGUUUUGAGAGUUUUAACUCUUUUUCUCCUAAUUAAAUUUGGUAAAAAAUC
Molecule: long non-coding RNA, 550 nt
Filed under: Rattus norvegicus (Norway rat)
Lineage: Eukaryota; Metazoa; Chordata; Mammalia; Rodentia; Muridae
Description: long non-coding RNA NONRATT017704
Source: RNAcentral